CCUACGGGGAGCAGCAGUGGGGAAUCUUCCGCAAUGGGCGCAAGCCUGACGGAGCACUGCCGCGUGAACGAAGAAGGUCUUCGGAUUGUAACGUUCUGUCCUUAUCGAAGAGAGGGUGUAGAGUGAAAAAUGAUAUACUAGGACGGAAGAUGAGGAGGAAGCCCCGGCUAACUACGUGCCAGCAGCAGCGGUACUACGUAGGGGGCGGGCGUUGUCCGGAAUCACUGGGCGUAAAGGGAGCGUAGGCGGGAAUAUAAGUCAGUUGUGAAAGGUGGGGGCUCAACCCCUAGAGUGCAACUGAUACUGUAUAACUUGAGUGUGAGAGAGGGAAGCGGAAUUCCUAGUGUAGCGGUGAAAUGCGUAGAUAUUAGGAGGAACACCAGUGGCGAAGGCGGCUUUCUGGCUCAUAACUGACGCUGAGGCGCGAAAGCGUGGGGAGCAAACAGGAUUAGAUACCCGUGUAGUC
Molecule: ribosomal RNA, 466 nt
Filed under: uncultured bacterium
Lineage: Bacteria
Description: partial 16S ribosomal RNA
Rfam family: Bacterial small subunit ribosomal RNA
Source: RNAcentral